CCCUUAGAUGUUCGGGGCCGCACGCGCGCUACACUGAAGGAAUCAGCACGUCUUUCCCCUUGUCCGAAAGGACUGGGUAACCCGCUGAACCUCCUUCGUGCUAGGGAUUGGGGCUUGUAAUUCUUCCCCAUGAACGAGGAAUUCCCAGUAAGCGCGAGUCAUAAGCUCGCGUUGAUUACGUCCCUGCCCUUUGUACACACCGCCCGUCGCUACUACCGAUUGGAUGGUUUAGUGAGAUCCUCGGAUUGGUCCCGGCGCGGCCUCUGGUCGUGCCGGAGUGCCGAAAAGAAUGUCGAACUUGAUCAUCUAGAGGAAGUAAAAGUCGUAACA
Molecule: ribosomal RNA, 330 nt
Filed under: uncultured eukaryote
Lineage: Eukaryota
Description: partial 18S ribosomal RNA
Rfam family: Eukaryotic small subunit ribosomal RNA
Source: RNAcentral